Molecule: long non-coding RNA, 3335 nt
Filed under: Apis dorsata (giant honeybee)
Lineage: Eukaryota; Metazoa; Arthropoda; Insecta; Hymenoptera; Apidae
Description: uncharacterized LOC102681981
Source: RNAcentral
CAAACUUUCAACCACCAAAUGAUUAUCCUAUCUCGCAACGAGUACCUCGAUUAAGCAACAAUGUAGGUAAGUACACGAAGCAAUAAUCCACUACGUACAACAUCCAGCCACCGUAAGCUCGGAAGCCUUCGAGCUAUUCGACCGGUCGCGCAGUAUCGUCGCCUCUCACGCGGUGGCUGGUGAGGUCAAGGAACACGGCGCGUCGACCGAUCUCAUUUUUCGUUGGCGCUUGGUACGAAACGCGCGCGCGCGUAUCAGGCGCAAUGGUUGCAAUGCGUCCCUCGGCGCAUGGAUCGCAUCUCGGCCUCGACCGAUGUUAAAUGGCCGCCACGGCGCGCCGGGACGCAAACUAAUGCCCCGCGUCCAGCUCGUACACGUAGCGGCGCGACUGCUACCGAGCUCGGUGCCGGAUUCCGCGGCCCACCGCGUAAUGAAUCCACUUUGCGCCGUGCCGCGUUUCCUUCGACUUUUUCCACUUCCCCUCCCGCCCGAUCGGUCUUUCUUUCUCUCCGUGGCAGGCCACGAACGCCACUUAAUGAAAUGUCACAGGUGUCCUACCGAUCGCCGAGCUAAAUGUCGCCGGCUUCCCAUACCCCGCCUCGGCGAGCCAAGCGAUUUCGACUUUACGCGGAAUGCCGUGAAGAUGACGCCGCAGAUACCGACCGGUACCCUGCUCUCUCUUCCGAACCCGCGAUCCUGGAAUCUUAUCUCGUGUCGACAGUGUGUUUGUGACUCUUGGUAAAUUGUAGGGAGGAGUUGGGUUAUGGAAUUUAUUUAUUUUUUUUUUUUCUUUUUGUUUGGAUCGUUUCGAAUCACGUAUAUUUCUAUUAUUCUCGACCGAUUCGUAUAUAUAGAUGAUAUAAUGUCUAUUUUUUCUUGCAUUUAACAUAACCUAUAUCCAGAUUAAAGACUGUAAAAAAUUACGCAUAACGGUGCAAUACGUAGAUAAGUACAUAUUGAUAAUAACACAAGCUGUCGACUUAACAUGGAUAACACAACGAUUCCCGUGAAUCGAAUUCCAGAAAAUAGUGGAGAAAGCGAUGCUGAAAUGUUUAGAUACUUACAUACCUUGCGUAUUUUUUUACGUGUAAAUCGAAUAGAACGAGAUACAUCAGUCAGCUUAUUCAGUGAUUUAUAUGUUCAACAACCUCUCCAAUCAUCGCCUCAUCACUAAUGUGCAAAGAAAUCCCGCACUGACAAGUAUGUAGAAAGCAUAUGAUAGAAAUUGCACAACUAGGAUAUAUUCAGUAGAAAAGCGCAUAAAGUGCAGCCAUGUCAGGUUUCAACUGAGGUCUUGAAAAGAUAGGGAGAGCGACGAUCUAAUUCCUAUUCCGCUGCCCUCUCGAGGCACGUCGAUGAAUUAUGAUACGCAUACUUACGAACCCCCUUGUUCACGGUUCUGUACACUGAUUCCGAUCGCUACCUCUCGCCGUGCGUCGAUCUAUCGAUCGAUCGAUCGAUCGAUCCGUAAAGCGACCUCUUUGGAUUCGAUCGAUUUUUCUCGUUCAUCUUCGUGGACUGUUCGAGAGAAACGUCAAAGCCAUCCGUCACCGAUCAUUACGCGCUCGCGGAUUUCAAUGUCCUUGUUAAAAGGGAUUGCCUCGUGCGGUGACCUACGACACGCGGCAAGCUGACGAGAAGAUAGAUGGCGGCGCACGAUUUCGCCGACUGUUCUGCUUAGAGCGCAGCCAACUUGUUACGAUUUGUUGCAGCAUGGGAGAACGGUAUCGUGGAGGAAAACCUGCACACGAGAAGCGAGACAUCUCUAUCCUGAUAUGUACAAAAUCUAUUAAGAUCGUGUUAUGCAAAUUGCGUUAAUUGCGACAAUAAAAAGCUUUCAUGACUCAAUAUAUCUUAAUUGCUAAAUAAUAAUUGAAUGAUCCAUUAAAUCACUGAAAAAUCGUGCAAAUUUAAUUCUAUGGAAACGAAUAAGAAAUGUGUAUAUAUAUAUACACGAAAUAGAUUAGUGAUUAACGAUAUAGGAUAAAAAGUCAUAGAAUCAUCAUAAACAUUGCAAUUUAACUUUUAUGGAGAUGACGGUCGCUUUUGAUUUACUUAACAUGUUUCAUUUAGCAAGAACAAGUUGGUCUCUUGAGUUUAACGGGCCACCUUCGAAUACGUACAAGGUAGAUCUUCUAAGUGACGUACACGGAAAUGUUCCUUACAAAUGGUCUUAAGCAAGUUGUAAACUCGUAAAGCGCAUAAAUUCGAAUGACACGUGGAACAAGUAAGAAAGUCCUUGCGAUUUAAGUUCUUUUCUCUUCGUCGAUUUUUAUUGACGAAACAUCUGAAUUUCUUGAAAUCAACUCGAAGUUUAAUCCAACCAAUGGUACAUGCGCAUAAUCGCGUUCUCGUUGCUUGUCACGGGGCCCGCUACGUUUCCGUGAGUGCGAUUUACGCCGUGAGCGUGGUCGUCGGUCGAAGCCAGGAUAAGCGGCGUUUUAUGGAGCCCCAUGCGCCGCUCACUCCAUGGCGGAAGGGACGCACUUUGUUCCGCGGCUGCGAAUGUAUCCCCAGGCCUCGAUCCACCCACAAGGAAGCACUUGAAGAAAGAGAGAGAUGCCUUGUCGCGGAAAGAUUGUGGUCCAUACGACGUGUCAGUUGAAUUCUCUAUAUGGUGUCGCACUGACAAAAGAACAUUAAAGCAAUAUGACUGUCUUUUAAGAAAUAUUAUAACAUUUUAUUUUUUUGCUUUGAAUAAUUGACCAUUUCGUCAUGUUAUACAUAUUUACAUUUAACAUAAAUUUUGAUUUAUUAUUUUACAAAAUAACUGGUUGAUUUGAAAUGGAAACUAACGUCGUCUAUUUCUGGACACCCUGUAUGAGAAGAUAAGUCGAAAGACAGCAGCGGAGAAGCAGUUAGGCGCAAGAAGGAGUGACGGAGGGAGGCAGAAGAAGAGAGACUCGGCAGGUGAGGUGUCACGAGGCGCGCGAGUAAUAUAUCGUUGUUCGGCCCAUCGUAGGUGGGUGUGCUCAUCCCGUGGUGCUCGGUCUCUGGUAUCUCACCCAUGCCCCUGGCGCUAAGAGAAGAAGAAGGCUAAUGCUGGUAUAAACGCGCCCGAUCACUUUUUUUCCUCAGGCUCUUUCUCCCUCUUACCACCUCUUCCUCUCUCUUUCUCUCCUACCCUUUUUGAUGUUUCUCUUUCUCUUUCCGCAAGAUUGCUAUUAGCAAAUGCCAACGUGAAACGUGCACACCCGCGCUCACCUGCCUGCCACUACACCUCGCCGAUAUUUUUCUUUUUGGUAUUUUGUACUACAGAGAUUUAGACAGAUCAUGAAACAGUUAUUAUAUUGUCCUUCUUAGAAUGUUUUAUCUAGCUAUUGAGGAGAAAAUUA